Small nuclear RNA from Prolemur simus (greater bamboo lemur), 127 nucleotides. Lineage: Eukaryota; Metazoa; Chordata; Mammalia; Primates; Lemuridae. The record is from Ensembl.
GGGUUGCAUGAAAGGAGAGGUGGUUAGCACUCCCCUUUGAAAAGGAUGAAAGAGGCACUCAGGCCUGACAACAUGUGUACAGUUAAGGCAUUGCCACCCACUUCAUGGUACCUAACCUUUGUCUUUU